GGAGGACGGAGAGAUACGAAGCCAAACCCGACGCUCGGUGCGCGCGAGAGAGAGAGCGAGACGCCCGGACGUGAAACGCGCCAAUCGGACAAGGACGGAAAUACGAAGAGUACAGGCUACUCUAAACGCAGAGUAGUGGGCGUAAGCGAAGAGACGCGGAAAAGAAAGGAAGACAAUGAGCGAAGAAAUCAACGGAUCGAUUUAUCGAUCAAUGGAUGCUCUUUGGACGAUUUGAGGCUGAAAAAUUAUGAAGAUGACAUCCCGGAGGGAUCCAGGGCGUUACCGACGUACCUCGUGGUGGAGCUUCCGGGAUAUUUUAACCUGAAGAGGGCUGGGACUGUCGUUAGGUCGUUAGAUCGUUAAAUUGUUAGAUCGCUUCACCGCUUCGCCGGGUCGAAAUCAAUGAAACUAAUCUCCAGAAGAACGGACUCGACUUGAAUGGCUUUUCGCAUCUUUCUUCUGAACGUUUUUAACAAAACAGUAUCGUCCAUACGCCAGGCGAUUGUCAAUUUUUGCGACAUCGCGCAUUUUCUGCGAUUUGUGCGAUUCUUCGAUUUUCCUCGAUUUUGUUUACUGCGUUCGCGUCUUUGCUCUGCGAUGAGAUAAAGCUAUUUGGAAUUUGUACUGUAUAAAGGCAUAGAAAGUGCAGAAGACUCGGGGAUAUCUUUAGAAAAAAAUGUAUUCGCUAAGAAUUCACAGCGAGCUGUAAAUUAGAUCGAAAUCUUCUAGACCUUUCGGAGAACAUGAAAAUGUUAACGAAUAAUUAUGUACGAAGUUAAAAUAUUUAUUCCAUCGGCUCUUCCGUUAGAAUUGGAUUAAAGGAAACGUUUAAGCUACUGAUAGCAGCUUAGCGUUCAUCCUGCUCCGUCCGUUACCAUUAUGGAGAUAUCCUUUAAAACACUGGCUAGGCUCAGUAGUUCUCAAUGAAGUAACUUAACGGUUCUUCCUCUGUUUGCAAUGCAUGUUCUUUAUUUCCUUCUCCUGUCGUACAGCUGAAUAUUUAUUCGGCAGACUCGCAUUGCAUUCGACCCUAUUCUGCGUAUUAGCAUCAUGGAGGUAUACUUAGAUACGCCCUGUGAUCUUGGUAAUGUUCAAUAAAUAACGUAACUAAUC
This is a long non-coding RNA of Orussus abietinus, 1113 nucleotides long. RefSeq lists it as uncharacterized. The transcript is spliced from 2 exons. NCBI's taxonomy places the organism in Eukaryota, Metazoa, Arthropoda, Insecta, Hymenoptera, Orussidae. The record is from RefSeq and is a predicted model, not a curated record.